RNAcentral lists this long non-coding RNA (237 nucleotides) under Elaeis guineensis (African oil palm). RNAcentral describes it as "long non-coding RNA (EGUI_LNC082448)". Lineage: Eukaryota; Viridiplantae; Streptophyta; Magnoliopsida; Arecales; Arecaceae. The record is from RNAcentral.
CUUUUGCAUCAGGAGGAAGAACCCUGUCCUUGAGGUAUGCAACCAGUGGGUCGAUCCAACUGGGUUCAUGGUUGAUCUCCAUCACAAGCUGUGAUUCUUCCGUACUUGGGUGCUUCAGAACUUCGAAGAAGACUUCCUUAGGCAGUUCAACCGGAGCUAGUGUAGCCAACUUGGAGAGAAGGUCAGCCCUGAUAUUUUCUGCUCUUGGGAUCUGCCUGAUGUCGAAGCUGUCGAAGG